RNAcentral lists this ribosomal RNA (506 nucleotides) under uncultured bacterium. RNAcentral's name for it is "partial 16S ribosomal RNA". It matches the Rfam family "Bacterial small subunit ribosomal RNA", at positions 28 to 523 of the family's 1533-position model. The record is from RNAcentral.
GAUGAACGCUAGCUACAGGCUUAACACAUGCAAGUCGAGGGGUAACGAGAGGAAAGCUUGCUUUCCUUGUCGACGACCGGCGCACGGGUGAGUAACGCGUAUCCAACCUGCCCCCAACUAAGGAAUAACCUUGCGAAAGUAAGACUAAUACCUUAUAAUUUACUCAGAUGUCAUCUGACGAGGAAUAAAGAUUUAUCGGUUGUGGAUGGGGAUGCGUCUGAUUAGCUUGUUGGCGGGGUAACGGCCCACCAAGGCAACGAUCAGUAGGGGUUCUGAGAGGAAGGUCCCCCACAUUGGAACUGAGACACGGUCCAAACUCCUACGUGAGGCAGCAGUGAGGAAUAUUGGUCAAUGGGCGAAAGCCUGAUCCAGCCAAGUAGCGUGCAGGAUGACGGCCCUAUGGGUUGUAAACUGCUUUUAUACAGGAAUAAAGUUAGCCACGUGUGGUUAUUUGUAGGUACUGUAUGAAUAAGGACCGGCUAAUUCCGUGCCAGCCGCCGCCGUAA